Molecule: ribosomal RNA, 774 nt
Filed under: uncultured Neocallimastigales
Lineage: Eukaryota; Fungi; Neocallimastigomycota; Neocallimastigomycetes; Neocallimastigales
Description: partial large subunit ribosomal RNA
Rfam family: Eukaryotic large subunit ribosomal RNA
Source: RNAcentral
UAUGUGAUCGUCUCUCGCAUAUCAAUAAGCGGAGGAAAAGAAACUAACAAGGAUUCCCCUAGUAACGGCGAGUGAAGCGGGAAGAGCUCAAAUUUGAAAUCUUAAAGGGUUUCCCUUUACGAAUUGUAGUUUAAAGAAGUGUUUUCUGUUGAGGUUUUGGUAAAAGUUCUUUGGAAUAGGACAUCAUAGAGGGUGAGAAUCCCGUAUUUGACCUUUACUUUCAACUUUGUGAUACACUUUCAAAGAGUCGGAUUGUUUGGGAAUGCAGUCCAAAAUGGGUGGUAAAUUUCAUCUAAAGCUAAAUAUUGGCGAGAGACCGAUAGCGAACAAGUACCGUGAGGGAAAGAUGAAAAGAACUUAGAAAAGAGAGUUAAACAGUACGUGAAAUUGUCAAAAGGGAAGCGUUUGACACCAGUGUUGUUUUUCUGAAAAUCAAUUGAAGAACUGUUUAUGCUAAGUUGUUUAGACUUUAUCAGCUAACUGUUUAGUUUUGAGCUUUUCUUUAAUGCACUUUUCAGUUAACAAGUCAACAUCAAUUUCUUUUGCUGUAAAGAAGCUUGAGGAAGGUGGCUUGAGAUUCGUCUUAAGUGUUUAUAGCCUCUUGCCUAUGCAGUCGGAGAGAUUGAGGUCUGCAACGUAGAUCCUUCGGGGCUAAAUGCAUUUGUGCUAAGUUAUAGCAUUUUAUAGACAACUUGUUGACUAUGAUUUGUCUUGUAGCUUACUCGCUUAUGUUAUUUUACCUACGCUUAGGAUGUUGAUCUACAGAGCGAGAGU